AGUGAACGCUGGCGGUAGGCCUAACACAUGCAAGUCGAACGGCAGCACAGUAAGAGCUUGCUCUUACGGGUGGCGAGUGGCGGACGGGUGAGGAAUACAUCGGAAUCUACUUUUUCGUGGGGGAUAACGUAGGGAAACUUACGCUAAUACCGCAUACGACCUACGGGUGAAAGCAGGGGAUCUUCGGACCUUGCGCGAUUGAAUGAGCCGAUGUCGGAUUAGCUAGUUGGCGGGGUAAAGGCCCACCAAGGCGACGAACCGUAGCUGGUCGGAGAGGAUGAUCAGCCACACUGAAACUGAGACACGGUCCAGACUCCUACGGAAGGCAGCAGUGGGGAGUAUUGGACAAUGGGCGCAAGCCUGAUCCAGCCAUACCGCGUGGGUGAAGAAGGCCUUCGGGUUGUAAAGCCCUUUUGUUGGGAAAGAAAAGCAGCAGGUUAAUACCCCGCUGUUCUGACGGUACCCAAAGAAUAAGCACCGGCUAACUUCGU
Molecule: ribosomal RNA, 491 nt
Filed under: uncultured bacterium
Lineage: Bacteria
Description: partial 16S ribosomal RNA
Rfam family: Bacterial small subunit ribosomal RNA
Source: RNAcentral